GAUGAACGCUGGCGGCGUGCCUAAUACAUGCAAGUCGAGCGAACAGAUGAGAAGCUUGCUUCUCUGAUGUUAGCGGCGGACGGGUGAGUAACACGUGGGUAACCUACCUAUAAGACUGGGAUAACUCCGGGAAACCGGGGCUAAUACCGGAUAAUAUUUUGAACCGCAUGGUUCAAUAGUGAAAGACGGCUUCGGCUGUCACUUAUAGAUGGACCCGCGCCGUAUUAGCUAGUUGGUAAGGUAACGGUUUACCAAGGCGACGAUACGUAGCCGACCUGAGAGGGUGAUCGGCCACACUGGAACUGAGACACGGUCCAGACUCCUACGGGAGGCAGCAGUAGGGAAUCUUCCGCAAUGGGCGAAAGCCUGACGGAGCAACGCCGCGUGAGUGAUGAAGGUCUUCGGAUCGUAAAACUCUGUUGUUAGGGAAGAACAAAUUUGUUAGUAACUGAACAAGUCUUGACGGUACCUAACCAGAAAGCCACGGCUAACUACGUGCCAGCCGCCGCAGUAA
This 514-nucleotide ribosomal RNA is filed under the name uncultured bacterium. Its description in RNAcentral is "partial 16S ribosomal RNA". It matches the Rfam family "Bacterial small subunit ribosomal RNA", at positions 28 to 523 of the family's 1533-position model. The record is from RNAcentral.